This 425-nucleotide ribosomal RNA is filed under the name uncultured bacterium. RNAcentral describes it as "partial 16S ribosomal RNA". It matches the Rfam family "Bacterial small subunit ribosomal RNA", at positions 354 to 796 of the family's 1533-position model. The record is from RNAcentral.
GUGGGGAAUCUUAGACAAUGGGCGCAAGCCUGAUCUAGCCAUGCCGCGUGAGCGAUGAAGGCCUUAGGGUUGUAAAGCUCUUUCGUGGGGGAAGAUAAUGACUGUACCCCAAGAAGAAGCCCCGGCUAACUCCGUGCCAGCAGCCGCGGUAAUACGGAGGGGGCUAGCGUUGUUCGGAAUUACUGGGCGUAAAGCGCACGUAGGCGGACUGGAAAGUCAGGGGUGAAAUCCCGGGGCUCAACCCCGGAACUGCCUUUGAAACUCCCAGUCUUGAGUUCGAGAGAGGUGAGUGGAAUUCCGAGUGUAGAGGUGAAAUUCGUAGAUAUUCGGAGGAACACCGGUGGCGAAGGCGACCACCUGGCUCGGUUCUGACGCUGAGGCGCGACAGCGUGGGGAGCAAACAGGAUUAGAAACCCUAGUAGUCC